RNAcentral lists this ribosomal RNA (483 nucleotides) under uncultured bacterium. RNAcentral's name for it is "partial 16S ribosomal RNA". It matches the Rfam family "Bacterial small subunit ribosomal RNA", at positions 28 to 507 of the family's 1533-position model. The record is from RNAcentral.
GACGAACGCUGGCGGCGUGCUUAACACAUGCCAGUCGAACGCUGAAGCUCAGCUUUUGUUGGGUGGAUGAGUGGCGAACGGGUGAGUAACACGUGAGUAACCUGCCCCCUUCUUUGGGAUAACGCCCGGAAACGGGUGCUAAUACUGGAUAUUCACUGGUCUUCGCAUGGGGGUUGGUGGAAAGGGUUUUUCUGGUGGGGGAUGGGCUCGCGGCCUAUCAGCUUGUUGGUGGGGUGAUGGCCUACCAAGGCUUUGGCGGGUAGCCGGCCUGAGAGGGUGACCGGUCACAUUGGGACUGAGAUACGGCCCAGACUCCUACGGGAGGCAGCAGUGGGGAAUAUUGCACAAUGGGCGCAAGCCUGAUGCAGCGACGCCGCGUGAGGGAUGGAGGCCUUCGGGUUGUGAACCUCUUUCGCUCAUGGUCAAGCCGCAACAAUGGUUGUGGUGAGGGUAGUGGGUAAAGAAGCGCCGGCUAACUACGUG